RNAcentral lists this ribosomal RNA (739 nucleotides) under uncultured Actinomyces sp. Its description in RNAcentral is "bacterial SSU rRNA". It matches the Rfam family "Bacterial small subunit ribosomal RNA", at positions 141 to 776 of the family's 1533-position model. Lineage: Bacteria; Bacillati; Actinomycetota; Actinomycetes; Actinomycetales; Actinomycetaceae. The record is from RNAcentral.
GAAUCCUCCCGGGCGGUCGCAGCUACCAGGGAUCCCUUGUUAUCUCUCGGAAAUUAGGGUCCUACGGAGUGGGAGUUUGGGUUCAUGAAAUUGGCACGGUAGAAAAGUAAGACCUCUUAUGCUGGCAUUUGGAACGUAGUAAUCCGGAAACAGCUUACCGCUGGUGAUGUUAAAAGUGGUUAUCUAACAUUAAGAGGCUUUGCGGUCAUAGCUAGUUGUGGGUAAAGCUACAAGGCGCGAUGCAUAGCCGCCUAGAGGUUAUCGGCCACACGGGACUGAGACACGGCCCAGACUCCUACGGGAGGCAGCAGUAGGGAUCUUCCGCAAUGGGCGAAAGCCUGACGGAGCAACGCCGCGUGAGUGAAGAAGGAUUUCGGUUCGUAAAGCUCUGUUGUUAGGGAAGAAUGAUUGUGUAGUAACUAUACACAGUAGAGACGGUACCUAACCAGAAAGCCACGGCUAACUACGUGCCAGCAGCCGCGGUAAUACGUAGGUGGCAAGCGUUGUCCGGAAUUAUUGGGCAUAAAGGGCAUCUAGGCGGCCUGACAAGUCAGGGGUGAAAACCUGCGGCUCAACCGCAGGCCUGCCUUUGAAACUGUAAGGCUGGAGUACCGGAGAGGUGGACGGAACUGCACGAGUAGAGGUGAAAUUCGUAGAUAUGUGCAGGAAUGCCGAUGAUGAAGAUAGUCCACUGGACGGAAACUGACGCUGAAGUGCGAAAGCCGGGGGAGCGAACAGG